UAAGGAAUAUUGGUCAAUGGACGCAAGUCUGAACCAGCCAUGCCGCGUGGAGGAUGAAGGCCCUCUGGGUUGUAAACUUCUUUUAUCUGGGACGAAACACUCUUUUUCUAAGGAGCUUGACGGUACCAGGUGAAUAAGCACCGGCUAACUCCGUGCCAGCAGCCGCGGUAAUACGGAGGGUGCAAGCGUUAUCCGGAUUCACUGGGUUUAAAGGGUGCGUAGGCGGACAUGUAAGUCCGUGGUGAAAUCUCCGAGCUUAACUCGGAAACUGCCAUGGAUACUAUAUGUCUUGAAUGUUGUGGAGGUUAGCGGAAUAUGUCAUGUAGCGGUGAAAUGCAUAGAUAUGACAUAGAACACCAAUUGCGAAGGCAGCUGGCUACACAAAUAUUGACGCUGAGGCACGAAAGCGUGGGGAUCAAACA
Molecule: ribosomal RNA, 422 nt
Filed under: uncultured Chitinophaga sp.
Lineage: Bacteria; Pseudomonadati; Bacteroidota; Chitinophagia; Chitinophagales; Chitinophagaceae
Description: bacterial SSU rRNA
Rfam family: Bacterial small subunit ribosomal RNA
Source: RNAcentral